UUAUAUUAUGUGAUAAUCAGUCUGCAGUGCACCUGAUUCAUACUCCUGUUCUUCAUUCAAAGACCAAACGUAUGAAAAUUGAUCUCUUCUUUGUUAGAGAAAAAGUUCUGGCCAAAUCCAUCUCUGUGCAGCAGGUCAUCUAGUAUUGUAGCUCAAAACUGACUGGUGUCAGUUUUGUAUAGGGUUACCUGCUACUGCAUGUCAUCUACGGUAGAAUAUAAAUUCUAGUUGUAACAAACACUGUAACUAACUUUCGCAGAAAAGAGAAAACAGUUAUAGGUUUCUAAUAAAUGAUAAUCAACUCUAUAUUAUAUUCUCCUAUUUAUACAAAUAGCCGUAUAAUAACCU
This 348-nucleotide long non-coding RNA is filed under the name Lathyrus oleraceus (garden pea). Its description in RNAcentral is "Pisum sativum (pea) long non-coding RNA (PSAT_LNC026645)". Lineage: Eukaryota; Viridiplantae; Streptophyta; Magnoliopsida; Fabales; Fabaceae. The record is from RNAcentral.